RNAcentral lists this ribosomal RNA (253 nucleotides) under uncultured bacterium. RNAcentral's name for it is "partial 16S ribosomal RNA". It matches the Rfam family "Bacterial small subunit ribosomal RNA", at positions 524 to 776 of the family's 1533-position model. The record is from RNAcentral.
UACGAAGGGGGCUAGCGUUGCUCGGAAUCACUGGGCGUAAAGGGUGCGUAGGCGGGUCUUUAAGUCAGGGGUGAAAUCCUGGAGCUCAACUCCAGAACUGCCUUUGAUACUGAAGAUCUUGAGUUCGGGAGAGGUGAGUGGAACUGCGAGUGUAGAGGUGAAAUUCGUAGAUAUUCGCAAGAACACCAGUGGCGAAGGCGGCUCACUGGCCCGAUACUGACGCUGAGGCACGAAAGCGUGGGGAGCAGACAGG